Molecule: ribosomal RNA, 2888 nt
Filed under: Pseudomonas aeruginosa
Lineage: Bacteria; Pseudomonadati; Pseudomonadota; Gammaproteobacteria; Pseudomonadales; Pseudomonadaceae
Description: 23S ribosomal RNA
Rfam family: Bacterial large subunit ribosomal RNA
Source: RNAcentral
UCAAGUGAAGAAGCGCAUACGGUGGAUGCCUUGGCAGUCAGAGGCGAUGAAAGACGUGGUAGCCUGCGAAAAGCUUCGGGGAGUCGGCAAACAGACUUUGAUCCGGAGAUCUCUGAAUGGGGGAACCCACCUAGGAUAACCUAGGUAUCUUGUACUGAAUCCAUAGGUGCAAGAGGCGAACCAGGGGAACUGAAACAUCUAAGUACCCUGAGGAAAAGAAAUCAACCGAGAUUCCCUUAGUAGUGGCGAGCGAACGGGGAUUAGCCCUUAAGCUUCAUUGAUUUUAGCGGAACGCUCUGGAAAGUGCGGCCAUAGUGGGUGAUAGCCCCGUACGCGAAAGGAUCUUUGAAGUGAAAUCGAGUAGGACGGAGCACGAGAAACUUUGUCUGAACAUGGGGGGACCAUCCUCCAAGGCUAAAUACUACUGACUGACCGAUAGUGAACCAGUACCGUGAGGAAAGGCGAAAAGAACCCCGGAGAGGGGAGUGAAAUAGAACCUGAAACCGUAUGCGUACAAGCAGUGGGAGCCUACUUGUUAGGUGACUGCGUACCUUUUGUAUAAUGGGUCAGCGACUUAUAUUCAGUGGCAAGCUUAACCGUAUAGGGUAGGCGUAGCGAAAGCGAGUCUUAAUAGGGCGUUUAGUCGCUGGGUAUAGACCCGAAACCGGGCGAUCUAUCCAUGAGCAGGUUGAAGGUUAGGUAACACUGACUGGAGGACCGAACCCACUCCCGUUGAAAAGGUAGGGGAUGACUUGUGGAUCGGAGUGAAAGGCUAAUCAAGCUCGGAGAUAGCUGGUUCUCCUCGAAAGCUAUUUAGGUAGCGCCUCAUGUAUCACUCUGGGGGGUAGAGCACUGUUUCGGCUAGGGGGUCAUCCCGACUUACCAAACCGAUGCAAACUCCGAAUACCCAGAAGUGCCGAGCAUGGGAGACACACGGCGGGUGCUAACGUCCGUCGUGAAAAGGGAAACAACCCAGACCGCCAGCUAAGGUCCCAAAGUUGUGGUUAAGUGGUAAACGAUGUGGGAAGGCUUAGACAGCUAGGAGGUUGGCUUAGAAGCAGCCAUCCUUUAAAGAAAGCGUAAUAGCUCACUAGUCGAGUCGGCCUGCGCGGAAGAUGUAACGGGGCUCAAACCACACACCGAAGCUGCGGGUGUCACGUAAGUGACGCGGUAGAGGAGCGUUCUGUAAGCCUGUGAAGGUGAGUUGAGAAGCUUGCUGGAGGUAUCAGAAGUGCGAAUGCUGACAUGAGUAACGACAAUGGGUGUGAAAAACACCCACGCCGAAAGACCAAGGGUUCCUGCGCAACGUUAAUCGACGCAGGGUUAGUCGGUUCCUAAGGCGAGGCUGAAAAGCGUAGUCGAUGGGAAACAGGUUAAUAUUCCUGUACUUCUGGUUACUGCGAUGGAGGGACGGAGAAGGCUAGGCCAGCUUGGCGUUGGUUGUCCAAGUUUAAGGUGGUAGGCUGAAAUCUUAGGUAAAUCCGGGGUUUCAAGGCCGAGAGCUGAUGACGAGUCGUCUUUUAGAUGACGAAGUGGUUGAUGCCAUGCUUCCAAGAAAAGCUUCUAAGCUUCAGGUAACCAGGAACCGUACCCCAAACCGACACAGGUGGUCGGGUAGAGAAUACCAAGGCGCUUGAGAGAACUCGGGUGAAGGAACUAGGCAAAAUGGCACCGUAACUUCGGGAGAAGGUGCGCCGGCUAGGGUGAAGGAUUUACUCCGUAAGCUCUGGCUGGUCGAAGAUACCAGGCCGCUGCGACUGUUUAUUAAAAACACAGCACUCUGCAAACACGAAAGUGGACGUAUAGGGUGUGACGCCUGCCCGGUGCCGGAAGGUUAAUUGAUGGGGUUAGCGCAAGCGAAGCUCUUGAUCGAAGCCCCGGUAAACGGCGGCCGUAACUAUAACGGUCCUAAGGUAGCGAAAUUCCUUGUCGGGUAAGUUCCGACCUGCACGAAUGGCGUAACGAUGGCGGCGCUGUCUCCACCCGAGACUCAGUGAAAUUGAAAUCGCUGUGAAGAUGCAGUGUAUCCGCGGCUAGACGGAAAGACCCCGUGAACCUUUACUGUAGCUUUGCACUGGACUUUGAGCCUGCUUGUGUAGGAUAGGUGGGAGGCUUUGAAGCGUGGACGCCAGUUCGCGUGGAGCCAUCCUUGAAAUACCACCCUGGCAUGCUUGAGGUUCUAACUCUGGUCCGUAAUCCGGAUCGAGGACAGUGUAUGGUGGGCAGUUUGACUGGGGCGGUCUCCUCCUAAAGAGUAACGGAGGAGUACGAAGGUGCGCUCAGACCGGUCGGAAAUCGGUCGCAGAGUAUAAAGGCAAAAGCGCGCUUGACUGCGAGACAGACACGUCGAGCAGGUACGAAAGUAGGUCUUAGUGAUCCGGUGGUUCUGUAUGGAAGGGCCAUCGCUCAACGGAUAAAAGGUACUCCGGGGAUAACAGGCUGAUACCGCCCAAGAGUUCAUAUCGACGGCGGUGUUUGGCACCUCGAUGUCGGCUCAUCACAUCCUGGGGCUGAAGCCGGUCCCAAGGGUAUGGCUGUUCGCCAUUUAAAGUGGUACGCGAGCUGGGUUUAGAACGUCGUGAGACAGUUCGGUCCCUAUCUGCCGUGGACGUUUGAGAUUUGAGAGGGGCUGCUCCUAGUACGAGAGGACCGGAGUGGACGAACCUCUGGUGUUCCGGUUGUCACGCCAGUGGCAUUGCCGGGUAGCUAUGUUCGGAAAAGAUAACCGCUGAAAGCAUCUAAGCGGGAAACUUGCCUCAAGAUGAGAUCUCACUGGGAACUUGAUUCCCCUGAAGGGCCGUCGAAGACUACGACGUUGAUAGGCUGGGUGUGUAAGCGUUGUGAGGCGUUGAGCUAACCAGUACUAAUUGCCCGUGAGGCUUGACCAU